Molecule: long non-coding RNA, 378 nt
Filed under: Parus major (Great Tit)
Lineage: Eukaryota; Metazoa; Chordata; Aves; Passeriformes; Paridae
Description: lncRNA (ENSPMJG00000013535.1)
Source: RNAcentral
AGCAGAAAAUCAAACAGGUUUGCCCAAGCUCUCAGUGAUAGAGGUUCCUUCCUGCAGCUGCACCAGGGAGCAGUUCCAGUGCACACCACAGAAAAGCCACGGUAUUCCCGCAGUGGGACAUCCCUCAUCCACCUGUGCUCCAGCAGGAAUGUUUACUACUGGGCUAGGCACAGGAAAACCUCUCUUCAGCAGAAAUUCCCUAAUGCACAGCCUCUCCUGGGCAUCACUCAGGUGAACUUGACCACCAGAGGAAGAGUUUGCUCCAGGCUGCUGAAGAGCUGCCAUACUGUGCUUCCCAGAGAAGUGAGGGAUUUCUCUUUGCCAGCUCCCAGAAGUGAGGAGCAGCGAGGCUGUCAGUGUCCAGAGAGCUGGAAAUGA